AUUGAACGCUGGCGGCAUGCUUUACACAUGCAAGUCGAACGGCAGCGCGGGCUUCGGCCUGGCGGCGAGUGGCGAACGGGUGAGUAAUGCAUCGGAACGUGCCCAGUAGUGGGGGAUAGCCCGGCGAAAGCCGGAUUAAUACCGCAUACGACCUGAGGGUGAAAGCGGGGGACCGAAAGGCCUCGCGCUAUUGGAGCGGCCGAUGUCGGAUUAGCUAGUUGGUGGGGUAAAGGCUUACCAAGGCGACGAUCCGUAGCUGGUCUGAGAGGACGACCAGCCACACUGGGACUGAGACACGGCCCAGACUCCUACGGGAGGCAGCAGUGGGGAAUUUUGGACAAUGGGGGCAACCCUGAUUCAGCCAUGCCGCGUGCGGGAAGAAGGCCUUCGGGUUGUAAACCGCUUUUGUUCGGGAAGAAAUCCUCUGGGCUAAUACCCCGGGGGGAUGACGGUACCGGAAGAAUAAGCACCGGCUAACUACGUG
This 484-nucleotide ribosomal RNA is filed under the name uncultured bacterium. RNAcentral's name for it is "partial 16S ribosomal RNA". It matches the Rfam family "Bacterial small subunit ribosomal RNA", at positions 28 to 507 of the family's 1533-position model. The record is from RNAcentral.